CUCGGUUCGUCUUUCUCCUCUUCGAUUUCAUCGACGCUCCGCGUUCGAUUCUGUCGAAAUCUCCAAAGCUUGAUGAUAUUCGAUCCAUUUUCUCGUCGUCGAUUCUGACUUUCUCAUGUUCAAUUUCGUCGGUAUCCCAUCGUCGGGUCUCUCUCGGCCUCGUCGAUUCUGUGAAAAUCUCCAACAGAGAAGACGUUUGAUUCGUUUCUUUCUUCGUUGAAGUUCUCCUCCAGAAUCGUCCAUGCAAUCCCCAUAAAGGUUCGGUUUCUUUUAUAUUUUUGUUCCCGUGAAUUGAAUUCCUUCGAUUAUUAUCCAAAAUUUUGUUUCGAUGAUGAGAUUUGACUCUGUAUAUCUCAGAUCGAUGGGGGCAGUCGUGGUUUGAAGUCGCGACGAACGGACUAUGGAGACGAUGAUGAACAGAGCUACAGAGGCAAGUCAUCAUCGUAGGUUGUCAGGUGGGAGAAGUAUCUUCCGACAACUGUGGUUUCGGUUUUGGUUGUCGAAUCCGAUGAUUAAACUUGCCAAAUCAUCACUGGCCAUCUGCAAAAGUGCACUUACAAAGUUGUAGCAGUUUCGGAUGGUUCAGCGGCGUGGGAGACAGUAAAGGAGAAGACACAUAACAUUGAAGAAGACAAAGGUCUUGCAGGGAGCAGCAAGAUACGGUUAAAACUCCAUCAAAGCGGAGCAAACACGUCAAACCAUCUCUCUUUAAAUUCAGAGGUUAGUAGACAAUCCAUUAAUGCUUGUUAGACAUUGUUUAGGAUUGAAUUAAAUGGACUUUAGGAUCAUGUACUUGGUUAUGUUAUAAUUAGGUAGAUUAAUCAUUGACUUUCUUGGUUGGUUUAGUUUUAGGUAGAUACAUUGAUGGCCAUUAACACGUAACACCUACUAAACUCUCAUUAGUUUGCUUUAAAAAGCGACCAACUCUCCCUUUCUCAUUUCAUAUCUCUUCUCUUUUGAUAUUUCCUUUCACAAAACAGAAGAAGCUCUCUUUCUCCUUUGUUAAUUCCUUCUCCUUCGUUAAUUCCUUCCUCAUUUCAUAUCUCUUCUCUUUUGAUAUGGAUCCAUUUAGUGAACUUUGUAGCUUUCAAACACUCUUAAACAGUCAACAACCAAACCCCUCCUUCUCUUUUGUUAGUCGUGAACCUAGUAUUGAAGUCUUUGCCUCUGAUGCGUCUGUCUUUGGUACUGGAUGGCCUGAUGGUGCAAACGAAGAGUGCCACAUCGUGUCUGACCGUAAAAAAAGGUGGAAAUGGUCACCAACUGAAGACAAGGUGCUCAUCAGUGCUUGGUUGAACACCUCCAAAGAUCCUGUCGUGGGAAAUGAGCAGAAAGCAAUUGCGUUUUGGAAACGAAUUGCUGCUUAUUUUGGUUCAAGUCCAUAGCUUGCUGGUUUGCAAAAGAGAGAGCCAUCUCACUGUAAACAAAGGUGGGGGAAGAUCAAUGAGGGCGUGUGCAAGUUUGUAGGCUGCAACGAAACAAAAAUCCAGUGGCCAGAGUGAGAAUGAUGUUUUAAAGAUGGCCCCUGAAAUAUUCUUCAAUGAUUACAAGAGCAAGUUCACACUUGAGCAUGCAUGGUUGGAGCUUAGGCAUGAUCAGAAAUGGUGUGGAGGUCUGCCGAGUAAAUAGAAUGUGAACUCUAAGAGAAGAAAGCUUGAUGACCAUUCAACACAGUCAUCAACGUCAGUGCCAUGUAGCCUUGGAGAAGAUGAAUCAAUGGCUCGGCCUAUUGGUGUCAAAGCUGCAAAAGGCAAAGGUAAACAGGCUGUGAGCAAGGCUAAGACUUCCAAAGCAGAAGGGAAGGCGUGUGUGGACUUUCAGAACCUGUGGGAGAUAAUGCAAAAGGACUAUGUAUUGAAAAAGAAGCUUAACAAGCACAAAUUGCUUGACAGCCUAAUUGCCAAGACAUAGCCAUUAACUGAACUAGAGAUUGCUUUGAAAAACAAGCUUAUUAAUGAUAUGUUGGCAAGUUAAUUUGAGUUUAUGGAUCUUAACCUUGUCUUAUUAUGUGUCUGAGUUUGAGUUAAUGCUUUUGUAUGAUAGGCAAGUUAGUUUGUUUCUCUGUAUUACGAGUUUGUAUGCAUUUGCUUUUGUUGUCUUCUUAUGUAUCUCGAGUCUGUAUAAUGACUUGUUUGAAUGUAUAAUAUUUCCACAGAUUGAUAAAUUAAUUCUUGCAAGGCUUUGCAGUCACAGAUAACUAUAUUAGCUGGUUACGUUUCUUACUCAAUGUUUGGUGUGUUUUGUUAACGUUUUAUGUUUGGCUAAUUGCAGCAGCACAGUAGAAGACAAGACUUUUUAAAACCGCGGAAUAAGCUUGAAUCUAGUUGACUCUGUGGAAACAGAGAUUGAGGUGAAGUGUUGGCCGAGUCUCUUAUGGCCAAUAUUUCCUAUCUUUAGUCUUCCUCUCUGUUCUCUAUGCAUUUUACUUGUUUCGUUGAUCAGACAAGCUCGGUUCGAACUAGUUUUGGCUUUGUAUUCUACGUAGUAACUGAUGGUUAGGAUUGUGAUCAUUCGGUUAGGAUUGUAAUUGAUGCAUAAGUUUGUAAUUGAAGCUUUUACGUGUGUAUAGUAACUGAUGCUUUUGCAGGACAAGAAGACAACUUGUGACAACAAUAAAGUCAGUAGCAUGUGACACAAACAAACACCAAAAGAAAAAGAAGAAGUCAGUAGCAUGUGACACAAACAAACACCAAAAGAAAAUAAAGCAGCCGUUGCAUGUGACGCCCAAGUGCCAUACGUUUCUUAUUUUUUCCUUUAAUAUGACUUGAUGUUAUCAAAAACAUAUUGUGCCUUCCAAGUGUAAUUGAUAGUCCGAGUGUAAAUCAUAUUGUCCUACUUUAUAAUGACUUGAUGUUACCAUUUCUCUCUUACCAUUUUCCAAUCAAAGAGUUGAGUUACUUUGUCUCUCUUACCAUUUCUCUCUUACCAUUUCUCUUCAAAAUGACUUCUUCUUCUUCUUCUCAUAAUCUUGAAGAUAUGAUGGAUGAAACAUUUGAUCAACUUUUCGAUCAACAAUUCGAACAACUUUAUGUUCAAGGUCAAGAAGCAUCAAGGUCAAAAAAAAGAGCCUACAUUGAAAGACAACGAGAACAAGGACACGAGCAGUUAUGGAACGGUUAGUUUAGUGAAGAUGCAACAUAUCCUUCUCACAUGUUUCGACGCCGUUUUAGAAUGAACAAGCUCUUGUUCAUGCGUAUUGUUGAUCGACUCUCCGCUGAAAUCCCAUACUUUCAACAAAGAAGAGAUGUUACGCGAAGGUUCAGUCACUUUCCAUUACAAAAGGCAACGGAAACAAUUCGUAAGAUGGCAUAUGGUUGCCCAGCUGAUGCGGUCGACGAAUACCUCCGACUUGGUGAGACCACCGCGCUUUUAUGCUUGGAACAUUUUGUUCAAGAAAUCAUAAAUUUAUUUGGAGAUGAGUAUCUAAGAAGACCCACGCCAGAAGAUCUUCAACGACUACUCGAUAUUGGAGAGAUACGCGGAUUUCUCGGGAUGAUAGGAAGCAUCGACUGUAUGCAUUGGGAGUGGAAGAAUUUUCCGACCGCAUGGAAAGGUCAAUAUACACCUGGAUCAGGCAAAGCCAACCAUUGUUUUAGAGGCUGUAGCUUCACAAGAUCUCUGGAUAUGGCAUGCGUUUUUCGGACCUCCAGGUCCGAAAGCAUCUUUAUUCGCUACACAUCAAGAAGCUGUACGUAAAGAUGUCGAGCGUGCUUUUGGGGUCUUGCAAGCUCGAUUUGCCAUAGUAAAAAAUCCAGCUCUUUUGUGGGAUAAAAUAAAAAUUGAAAAGAGAAUGAGAGCAUGUAUCAUUCUACAUAAUAUGAUCGUAGAAGACGAACGAGAUGGGUACACUCAGUUUGAUGUAUCAGUUUUCGCACAACCGGAAUCAAACCGAAGUUCACAAGUGGAUUUCACGUAUUCUACAGAUAUGCAUUCAAAUCUCGACAAUAUGAUGAGCAUUCAGAAUCGAGUUCGUGAUAAUACAAUAUAUCAAUAAUUGAAAGCUGAUUUGGUUGAACAUAUAUGGCAAAAUUUUGGAACAAAUCAAGAUUUCAACUAAUCGGCUUUUUCUCGUUUACGCUUUGUAUUUGUAUUUUUAAUAUGCUUUUAUGUCAUUUUUAUUAAGUGAUUUUAAUGUAUGCUUUUAUUUUAAAUCAUUCUACUUAAAAAAAAUUAUUUAAGAACCCCUUUGGAGGAGGAAAACAUAAUUUCCACAAACAAUGGUUCUUAACUACUCAAAUCACUUUAUUAACUAUUAAUUUACUUCUAAGAGCCCAUUAGAACUUCUUAACUACUCAAAUCACUUUAUUAACUAUUAAUUUACUCCUAAGAGCCCAUUAAAGGUUCUAAUGGAUGGACAUGCUCUCUGGUUAUCCUAAAGCCCUUUUAGAGUCUCUUAGUAUUUGUUUAAUAUUAUUAAGUAGUAAAUGUGAGGUUAAGAGACAUAAUCAAGAGACUCGAAAAUUUUGCGUCUCCGAUGCAAGUCUCUUAUUGAGGGGUUCUUAAAAAAAAAUUAUUUUUUUAAAGAUAAAAAGCAUUCCGACCACUACCACACAAGUUGAUCAAAUCCAUAAGAACAAAGUACAACACAUCCAGAGACAUCAAAAAGAGUAUAUUAUUUAAACCAUAACCACAACGUAACGAGUAUAUUAUUAAGCAUACAUGUGAACUAACAUUCAAAUGAGAAGUUUGGCGCUUUCCUAACUAAAGAACCUGUGGAAGUGAAACUAGGCCUUCAACUACAAUGUCAAAAAUGAUAUUCCAUGCUCCAUGUCACUACCAUAAACACAAGAACAACAUCAUCCACACACAAAAAGAAACCAGCUCCAAGAAGACAUGGAAGAAAAUAAUUAAAACUUACCUGCUGCUUUGUGGAGUGUAAGUGUGUCUUUGUCCCUCUGUUGAGAAACCUCAAGACGCAUUGGACGACCGAGCAAAGGUCUACCGUGAAAUUC
Molecule: long non-coding RNA, 4952 nt
Organism: Brassica napus (rape)
Lineage: Eukaryota; Viridiplantae; Streptophyta; Magnoliopsida; Brassicales; Brassicaceae
Exons: 3
Source: RefSeq, a predicted model, not a curated record